RNAcentral lists this ribosomal RNA (497 nucleotides) under uncultured bacterium. Its description in RNAcentral is "partial 16S ribosomal RNA". It matches the Rfam family "Bacterial small subunit ribosomal RNA", at positions 28 to 507 of the family's 1533-position model. The record is from RNAcentral.
GAUGAACGCUGGCGGCGUGCCUAAUACAUGCAAGUCGAGCGAACGGACGAGAAGCUUGCUUCUCUGAUGUUAGCGGCGGACGGGUGAGUAACACGUGGAUAACCUACCUAUAAGACUGGGAUAACUUCGGGAAACCGGAGCUAAUACCGGAUAAUAUUUUGAACCGCAUGGUUCAAAAGUGAAAGACGGCCUUGCUGUCACUUAUAGAUGGAUCCGCGCUGCAUUAGCUAGUUGGUAAGGUAACGGCUUACCAAGGCAACUAUGCAUAGCCGACCUGAGAGGGUGAUCGGCCACACUGGAACUGAGACACGGUCCAGACUCCUACGGGAGGCAGCAGUAGGGAAUCUUCCGCAAUGGGCGAAAGCCUGACGGAGCAACGCCGCGUGAGUGAUGAAGGUCUUCGGAUCGUAAAACUCUGUUAUUAGGGAAGAACAUAUGUGUAAGUAACUGUGCACAUCUUGACGGUACCUAAUCAGAAAGCCACGGCUAACUACGUG